RNAcentral lists this ribosomal RNA (2235 nucleotides) under activated sludge metagenome. Its description in RNAcentral is "bacterial LSU rRNA". It matches the Rfam family "Bacterial large subunit ribosomal RNA", at positions 733 to 2925 of the family's 2925-position model. The record is from RNAcentral.
ACCCUGGGCAGGAUGAAGUCACCUUAACCGGUGAUGGAGGUCCGAAGUGUUAAACGUUGAAAAGUUUCUACAUGAUCUGGGGUUAGGGGUGAAAGGCCAAUCGAACUUGGUGAUAGCUAGUUCUCCCCGAAAUAGCUAUAGGGCUAGCGUCGUGAUUUAACCCGCGGGGGUAGAGCACUGAAUGAUGUAGGCUGAGCGACCCUCGGUCCGAAUUCAAUCAAACUCCGAAUACCGCGGCGAACAUCACGGCAGUCAGUUCGUGAGGGAAAAGCUUCACGUGCAAGAGAGAAACAGCUCAGACCGCCGAUCUAGGUCCCAAAGUUCAUGCUAAGUGGCAAAGGAUGUGGGUUUACUUAAACAGCUAGGAGGUUGGCUUAGAAGCAGCCAUCCUUUGAAGAGUGCGUAACAGCUCACUAGUCUAGCGAACCUGCGCCGAAAAUGACACGGGGCUAAGCAUGACACCGCAAUCGCGGAUUUACAGGGGCGAAGGUCUCUGUAAGUGGUAGGGGAGCGUUCUUAUCGCAGCGAAGGCGUACCGGAAGGAGCGCUGGAGCGUUAAGAAGCGAGGAUGCUGGAAUAAGUAGCGAUAAACAAGGUGAGAAUCCUUGUCGCCGUAAGCCUAAGGUUUCCUUGAGCAACGUUCGUCGGCUCAGGGUCAGUCGGGCCUAAGUCGAGGCCGAAAGGCGUAGAUGAAGGACAUCCGGUUAAUAUUCCGGAACUGCAGUAGACGCGUCAUCACCCAAGAAGGGACGCAGAAGGGUAAGCCAUCCCGGUGAAGGUUGUCCGGGUUCAAAGCCGUAGGUGUGGGCUCGCAGGCAAAUCCACGAGCUCGUUAAGCCGAAAGCCGAAUACGACUGCCGGGAAACCGGCGGGAAGUGGCCCAACCACGCUGCCGAGAAAAACUUCGUGGGGAGUUUCUACUGUAACCGUACCGCAAUCCGACACAGGUAGGCGAGUUGAAUAUACUAAGGCGCGCGAGAUAACCUACGUUAAGGAACUAGGCAAACUAACUCCGUAACUUCGGAAGAAGGAGUGCCUGAGUAGCGGUGUGGGAUUUAAAGACCACGCGGUGAAAAGGCCGCAGUGAAAUGGGGAUCGUGACUGUUUAACAAAAACUUAGGGCUCUGCUGAAAUCGCAAGAUGACGUAUAGGGCCUGAUGCCUGCCCGGUGCUGGAAGGUCAAGGGGAGGGGUUAGCCGCAAGGCGAAGCUUCGAACUUAAGCCCCAGUAAACGGCGGCGGUAACUAUAACCGUCCUAAGGUAGCGAAAUUCCUUGUCGGGUAAGUUCCGACCUGCACGAAUGGCAUAACAAAGAUCCCGCUGUCUCAACGUAGGGCUCGGCGAAAUUGUGGUGCAAGUGAAGACGCUUGCUGCGCGCACCUAGACGAAAAGACCCCGUGGAGCUUUACUGUAUCUUGUCAUUGAAUUACGGUUUUUAAUGCGUAGGAUAGGUGGGAGCCGGUGAUCCCAGGGUUUUGGCCCUGGGGGAGGCAACGGUGAAAUACCACCCUUUUGAAAUUGUGAUUCUAACGCCGCAGCCGUAAACCGGCCGGCGAACAGUGGCAGGUGGGCAGUUUGACUGGGGCGGUCGCCUCCUAAAGAGUAACGGAGGCGUACCAAGGUUCCCUCAGGGCGAAUAGAAAUCGCCUGUCGAGCGCAAUGGUAGAAGGGAGCUUGACUGUGAGGCCGACGGGCCGAGCAGGUACGAAAGUAGGUCAUAGUGAUCCGGUGGUACCUCGUGGGAGGGCCAUCGCUCAACGGAUAAAAGCUACCCCGGGGAUAACAGGCUGAUCUGGUCCAAGAGUCCACAUCGACGACCAGGUUUGGCACCUCGAUGUCGGCUCAUCGCAUCCUCCCGCUGAAGCAGGUGGGAAGGGUUGGGCUGUUCGCCCAUUAAAGCGGUACGUGAGCUGGGUUCAGUACGUCGUGAGACAGUACGGUCUCUAUCUGGUGUGCGCGAAGGAAACUUGAGGGGAGCUGUCCACAGUACGAGAGGACCUGGAUGGACGAACCGCCCGUAUGCCAGUUGUCCUGCCAAGGGCAUAAGCUGGGUAGCGGUGUUCGGUAGGGAUAAACGCUGAAAGCAUCUAAGCGUGAAACCCGCCCCAAGAUUAGGUUUCCCUCCUCGAUUAACGAGGCUGAAGGCCCCCGGAAGACUACCGGGUUGAUAGGCCGGGUGUGUAAGCAUGGCAACAUGUUCAGCUAACCGGUACUAAUCGGCCGUGAGGCUUGGCC